RNAcentral lists this long non-coding RNA (244 nucleotides) under Homo sapiens (human). RNAcentral describes it as "HSALNT0252121". Lineage: Eukaryota; Metazoa; Chordata; Mammalia; Primates; Hominidae. The record is from RNAcentral.
UCUUCUGUCAAGUCACCUUGCAAGUCUCAUGCUUUCUGGAUUCACUGCAGAUUAGAGUACCCAGAAUUAGCCAAGACCUUCAACAUUUAAUGACUAGCCAUGGAGAAGAAAUAAGAUGAACUGCUUGUCCCAGAAAGCGAUAGAACUUUGAAAGCAGCUAUAUAUUUCCUAGCUACCUCUAAAAAAUGGAGCUGUCUUCAUGAGACCUGUAAGAAGCCAACAGUUUUCCUCACUGCCACCAUGU